RNAcentral lists this ribosomal RNA (490 nucleotides) under uncultured bacterium. RNAcentral's name for it is "partial 16S ribosomal RNA". It matches the Rfam family "Bacterial small subunit ribosomal RNA", at positions 28 to 507 of the family's 1533-position model. The record is from RNAcentral.
GAUGAACGCUAGCUACAGGCUUAACACAUGCAAGUCGCGGGGCAGCAUGGGGGUUGCUUGCAAUCCCCGAUGGCGACCGGCGCACGGGUGAGUAACGCGUAUCCAACCUGCCCUUCACCACGGGAUAACCCGGCGAAAGUCGGACUAAUACCGUAUGUUGUCCAUUGACGGCAUCCGAUUUGGACGAAAGGCUUGGCGGUGAGGGAGGGGGAUGCGUCCGAUUAGCCAGAGGGCGGGGUAACGGCCCACCGUGGCUACGAUCGGUAGGGGUUCUGAGAGGAGGGUCCCCCACACUGGAACUGGGACACGGUCCAGACUCCUACGGGAGGCAGCAGUGAGGAAUAUUGGUCAAUGGGCGUAAGCCUGAACCAGCCAAGUAGCGUGCAGGAAGACGGCCCUAUGGGUUGUAAACUGCUUUUAUGCGGGGAUAAAGUGGCCCACGUGUGGGCUUUUGCAGGUACCGCAUGAAUAAGGACCGGCUAAUUCCGUG